UCUCCAAAAAUGUGAUAAAUGUAUCUAGUUUGACACGAAGUACCACAACUUCACAGGAUUGAGGAUUCGGUUGAAGGCUGGGUUUAAUGCUAAGGCGAAGGAGCUGACAAAGGCAGUAGAAAUGAGCACCGAGUCUUACCUGGGCACCCCCAUUGCCAUGUGUUGGUGGAUCCUGGGCUGGUGGAAAGGUCUGGAGAAAGGAGUAUUAGAAAAUCAGAGCAUAUAGCCAUUCCGAUGGACUGCCAGAAGCAAGCCGGCAAGAUUUUUUUGUCAAGGACAUGUUGACCUCUUAAAAUGAGAUGCUUUCCCACAGGAACUGGUGGAAGAUACAGCAGAAGGGUCUAGGCUCCAAAACUAAUUGUAGAGAAAUCAACACAAGGUGACUUUUCUCAUGCUUUGGAUUCAACAUUAAUGCUGUGCAGCAGGACUGACUCCUAUUUGGUCACACAAGUUAACAUUCAGCAUGGUUCAAGAUAUUUGCCUGGGUCACUGUGAUGAAGGUUUCAUGAGAUAGGCUCACAGUGACAAUCAAUGAAGCGAAUUGGUGCUUCUCUGUUUAGCUCAAGGUUGACCAUUAAAAUGUUCUGAAGUUAUUUUGGUUGUAAUAAAUCAGAAGAUACAUUUGGAAGG
Molecule: long non-coding RNA, 630 nt
Filed under: Pogona vitticeps (central bearded dragon)
Lineage: Eukaryota; Metazoa; Chordata; Lepidosauria; Squamata; Agamidae
Description: lncRNA (ENSPVIG00000023898.1)
Source: RNAcentral